Long non-coding RNA from Psammomys obesus (fat sand rat), 3566 nucleotides. RefSeq lists it as uncharacterized. The transcript has 3 exons. The record is from RefSeq and is a predicted model, not a curated record. Lineage: Eukaryota; Metazoa; Chordata; Mammalia; Rodentia; Muridae.
GUUUUUGUUUUGAGACAGGGUUUCUCUGUGUAGUCCUGGCUAUCCUGAAACUCACUAUGUAGACCAGGCUGGCCUUGAACUCGGAAAUAUGCUUGCCCCUGCCUCACCAGUGUUGGGAUUAAAGACUCGCACCAUCAUCUGGACAUUUACUAUUUUUUAACCACUGCCAACCACAGACAGCUGAGUCCACAGCAAUCAGAACUGUGGGUAAGGCUCGCUCCACAUCACUGAAUCAAAAUAAGCAUCAAUAGCUGCCACCCAUGUGUAACUCACACUAUUGGGGCCUGAGAAAAGGGUAGAUAACAAUAAGCUAUAAAUACCAUAGAUUAUAGACUGUAAUCAAAACUGACAAAUACCUAUGGGGAGAAAUGUAGAAAGAGGGAUCCGGAAUGUUAGGAGAUCAAACAGGCUACAACUGAAAACAGAAUGUUUUUGAUUCCACAAUACUUUGUAGUGACAUCUCAUAGAUGGUGGUUUGAGAUUCCCCCCCCCCCUUCCUUUUUUUCUGCUUGCUUUCUGUGGCUUCAGAGAGAAUGGGGUUGGUUUUUCUUGGUUCUGCUGUACUUGACUGUCUUCCACACCUUGUUUUGUGUUAAAGAGCUCAUUUUGUGAAUCCUGGCAGCUUGUAGUGUAACAUUCCUUCGUGGUUCUCUUCUUGGGUCUCAUUCUGUAUGCACGAAUGAUGAUGGGAAAAUCUUUCAAGCCCAACCAGUUUUCCCCAUCCUCACUCAAAUAAGAAUCCAAAACCCACAUUCUCUGGCUAGUUCUGCUGUGCAUUAGUCAGUUUAUAACAAAUGGUCUCGGUUUUCCCAGGAAAUGUCGCUCCAUUCUUGCAUAACCUGAAUUGAGUUGGUAGGGGCAGCAUUUACGAAAAGAUAACCUCCUUGCCCUUAGCAGGAAAUCUAACAACAGAGGAUAUGGCUGUGUGUAGGUACAUAAGAUGCACUCCUGUCCCUCCCGAUAAAAGCCACUGUCAGUAUCAACCAGAAAGUGGAGGAAGUCUUUCUGACAGGAAGCCAGAACGGGGAAUGAGAUGACCAAGGUAGCAUGCAGCAGGGACUCUGCUUUCCAUUGUUCAAGUCCAGGUGUCAAAGAAGAGGCUCUUUAGUGGGAGAAUUUGGGUGGCAUGUAGUACCAUGGGCGAAGUGCCCAGCCCUCUGACUCUUUUAUUUCUAGUGGUUUAGUUGCAAAGUGCUGUGAUGGUUAAAGAUGACUGGUCUGAAAAACUGAAACUGAUCCAGCAAGAGAAACAGAAUUAAAGGUAAAAACAUAGAGGGCUGGAGAAAUGGCUCAGCAAUUAAGAGCACUUGCUGCUGCUCAAAAGGACCUGAGUUUGAUUCCCACCAUUCAUGUCCGUCAACUCACAGCUGCCUGUGAUUCCAGCCUCAAAAGGUCCAGCACCCUCUUCUGGCCUCCACAAGUACCCACACUCAUGUGGCGUAUAUUCAGAUACAUACACAUAUGGAUGAGGGGCCUUCCUAUACGUGAAUGGAUGUUUAAAGGAAUUUGGGACAGCAGUGAAUCAGCUAGAGUCCUGAUUGGUUUCUGGCUCUAGAAAACUUAGCAAAGAAUGGUUCAGUCAAAUAAGUAAUUUAUCUCACAAGACAAGACCUCUAAAGUUGGACAUGGUGGCACACGCCUGUGAUUAUAUCAUAUAGGUAGAGGAAGGGGGAUCAGAAGUUCAAAGUCAGCCUCAGCUACCUAGAGAAUUCAAGGCUAGCGUGGGCUACAGAAGACACUAGCUUGAAAAUGUUCGCAAAGAUGCACUGUGCGUGACAGGAGGCCAAAGCAGGGAGAUUUACACCACUGUGACGAUUCAUCUCCGCUGUCAGGUUGACGGGAUUUGGAAUCACUGAGGAGACACACCUAAAGAGUCUGUUCUCGGACUGACUUGAAAAGAGAAAAUGAGAACGUGGGCUGAGCACCAGAUUCAUCUUCCUCUUUUCCCUGAUAUGGUUGGCUAUGUCCUCUCGAACCACAACACAAAACAAAGCCAUAAUUUGUCACAGCUAGGACAAGACUAAGGCAACCACCAGGCACCUAAACUCCAUGCUCUAUAAAGCCUCCUGCACUCUCCAGUCACCUGAACCCAGCCUGGGAGGAAAGACUGAGAGGCUGAACUACAGCUUGAACACAUGCUCCCUUACUUCCCACCGGCACUUAGACAUUUUCUCUCGCCAUAGUAGCAUCUGGGGAAUCAGGCUGAGCUGGAGUGAUGAAAACACAGACGGUGCAGCAGAUCAGAGGCUCUGAGUCCAGGAGACAGGGAGAAAGAACUGCUCUGCCCAGAUCACAGCGUGAUCCUUGGGAGUUAAGACACAUGGUGAAGAACGCUGACCAUGCCCAAAGACUGAAAUUGACCUGAGCCAACAUGAAAUGUCUCUUGUUGCCCUCAACCAAGCAAAAUGGCACCAGCUCACUAAGUGCUUCUGGGAACUUUCUGCGUUAACUGUGGUGCCUAAGACAUGAAUGCGCACCUUAACGCACAGGUACCAGUUCUAGGUUCCCCCUUCCACAAAAGGAACACAGAGCGAAGCGCCCAGGAAGCUGUCCCUGACACACAUAGCAGGAAUGAUGUUUACACAGGAUUACCUGAAGAUCAACAUCUGUGAGGAGGAAGGGAGUGCACGCUUAAGCCAACCCCUCAGGCAGCCCUGGGCCUGACCUGUCCCACAGGGUAAAGCAGACAUUCCUAACUCAGCUUUGAUCAGCUACUGGACACAUCUGAUCCCGGAAGGAUGUGAAUCCCUUCUAACUGGUAAAAUCAUCCUGACGGCUCAUCUAGGGGUCACCUGCCAGGAGCUGCACAGCAGCCAGAGGGACAGGUCUUUCCCUGGGGGGAGAACAUCAGAGAGCCCACCACACUGACAGCCUGACUUGCAUGGCAUCCACAUCUUCGGGGCUUUUGGGGUUUUUUUUCCUAGUUUGACCACAUAAGGGACAACCUAAUUUAAUGGUUGUCUAUUCUGAAGCUUAGUGAGAACACCAAAAAGUAAAAGGAUUGGGAAGGGAAAAUAAUUGGGGACCAGCUGCUGCAUAUAAUAUAUGCUUUUGUGCCUUUGUCUUGCUAUCAAAGAAUGUACCUUUUCAGAUCUACCUAAGGUUGCUGAACCUUAGUUCUGCUUCACUCAUUUAUUUUCAUCCCUGCUCAUCCAGUUUUUAAGUUACAUUUCGUAUGUAAGUGUGUUCAUUUGCAGCAUGCACAGGGAGGUCAGAAUAUAACCUGCAGGGGUCGGUCAGUUCUCUCCCUCCACCUUAUGGCUCCUGGGGAUCAAACUCCAGCUGUCAGGUUUGGUAUUGAGUGUCCUUUGCCCACUGAGCUGUCUCGCCAGCCAUUAUCUUGUCUCAAAACACCCGGUAGCCACAGCUACUCAUUUCAGUCCUACAACGCAUGGGGCUUGCUCACGACCUGGAGUUUUAAAAACAAGGCUGCUGCGAAAGGAAUUAUGGAGGGGUGCACGCCUCUCGGUGCGUUUCCAGGUUCCGUGCUUGGGAACAAAAUUGCUGGGUGCUCAGUAAAAGUGUUGGAAUUUUCAGUUUCUCCAGAAAAUACCAAAAUGCUUCUG